GUGCCUAACGUCCGGUGUCAAGAGGGAAACAACCCAGACCGCCAGCUAAGGUCCAAAUGACGUGCUAAGUGGUAAACGAAGUGGGAAGGCAUAGACAGCCAGGAUGUUGGCUUAGAAGCAGCCAUCAUUUAAAGAAAGCGUAAUAGCUCACUGGUCGAGUCGUCCUGCGCGGAAGAUGUAACGGGGCUAAGCACGUAACCGAAGCUGCGGAUCUACAGUUUACUGUAGGUGGUAGGAGAGCGUUCUGUAAGCCUGUGAAGGUGUCUUGAGAAGGAUGCUGGAGGUAUCAGAAGUGCGAAUGCUGACAUGAGUAGCGAUAAACAAGGUGAAAGUCCUUGUCGCCGAAAACCCAAGGUUUCCUACGCAACGUUCAUCGGCGUAGGGUGAGUCGGCCCUAAGGCGAGGCAGAAAUGCGUAGUCGAUGGGAAACAGGUUAAUAUUCCUAGUACCGAUAUGGAAUGCGA
Molecule: ribosomal RNA, 464 nt
Filed under: uncultured bacterium
Lineage: Bacteria
Description: bacterial LSU rRNA
Rfam family: Bacterial large subunit ribosomal RNA
Source: RNAcentral